GACUUGGUAGCUCCGUUGGUAAAGCACUGCACCGGUAUGCAUGGUUCGAAUCCCGUCUAAGCCU
Desmophyllum pertusum is the source of this 64-nucleotide non-coding RNA. The record is from the annotation of a GenBank genome assembly. NCBI's taxonomy places the organism in Eukaryota, Metazoa, Cnidaria, Anthozoa, Scleractinia, Caryophylliidae.